GGCAAUCAAUCGGGCGACAUACGGGUUCAUGUGUACCCAAAUUUUUUUGUCCAAAUUCUAUAUAUAUAUAUAUUCAAAAUUUACUAAAUAUGUAUAUAUAUAUUUGAAUGUGAGUUCAGGUAUUAUCACAAAUUUAUUGAGGUUAUUUUAUGAACUAAUAAACAUUAAAUUCUAAAUUCGCUUAUGCAUGACCAACGCCAUGUGCUUUGAAUUAAUACAAAGUUUAUAUUGACUUUGGAAAAUAAAAACUCAAUGAUCACUUGAAGCUGUCCUCGUGGUACUGAAGAUAUGCAUGGCCUGGCUAGCUUAUGUCACAUUGAUAGGAUUCCUUUGAAUGUAAACAGUCUGCAAUACCAAUGGGAAAAUGCUGUUCACAUGGACAAACAGUAACAAUAUGUCCACGAAAGAUGGAAAUGACAUGUAAAGACUUCAUCAUUAUCCAAGAACGUUAAGGGUGAUAAUUGUCCCAUCCAAAUUUUACAUUUAAAUUUUCUUGUUAUUGGCAGAUCUAGCUCUCCGUGUGUCGAACUCAAUAGUUUUAAUUUAAAUUUUAUAUUUAUUUUCAAAAAUAUAGUAUUAAAUAUAUAUUAAAUAUUAAUUAAAAUUUAGUAACUUAAAGAAAUAUUCUUAACUCAAAUUUCAAAUCCUGAAUUCGUCUCUAAUUAUUAGUGUUGUAUAAUAGAAAAAAAACUUACUACACUUUCUAGUUCCAAAACAACUGAAAAAUACUUCUGGGAUGCAUGAAAUAUAAGGAUCUUUUACUUCGAUUUGGACAAAAUGCCUCUCUCGUAAAAAAUGUCAAAACCUUAGUCCGUGAAGGCUCUCUCUUUCUAGCAUCAUUACAAAAAUGAAACAUGAGGAAAACAAAAAUAAUGAGUAUUGAUGUUAAGUUGUUAGGCUAGUUUGCUUAAUGGGAAACUAGGGGGUAUUGUGAUAAGCCAAAGGGCUAAAAAUAAUAACAUAUUCAGUAUAAUCUCACGUAGUGAGGUUUGAAAAAGAUAGUAUUAGUAACUUAGUAUAUUGUAUUUGUAAAAUAAUUUAGGAAAUAUAAAUGAAUAUAAAUAAAAAUGAUCAAAACAGAAAUGACAUAAACAGAAAUAACAGAAACAAUUCAAACCCACUAAAUUCACAGUAUUUUCUUAUGGAAUUUAAUUCCCUCCUAGUACCCAAGGUUAUGGAUUAUUUCCUCCCAGUAUAAAACAAAUUAUACAUUGGUGUAGUGGUACUUCAAACCCCAGUGUUUCAGCGAACACAAAGUUCGGUAGCAAAUCACACAUCACACACUUAUUUAAUGGUACUUCAAACUCCGGUGUUUCAGCAAACACAAAGUUCGGUAGCAAAUCACACUUACUUUUUACUUUGUUUGAUGCUAAAAGUAUGUAGAAGAAGGAGAAGAAACUCAGAAAAUCAUAGUGAAAUUCUGAGCAGAAUAGUGUUGUAUUUAUAGCCAAAGUUGGGCUAAAAUUUGAAGAGGUGCAACUCUUCAGAAUGACUGUUUCUGCAAAACGACCACAACAUAAAUUGCUAUUAUAUAAAUGGCUAGUUACAACAAUCAAGAGAGAAAAUAAAGCGGAAAAAUUAAUUAAUUUUCUGUUAGAAAAAGCCUAAAAUUAAAAUUUGGAUAGUUGAAUUGGAUUUAAUAUUAAUAUUUAUUUUAAUAUUAAUAUUCUGUUAUUAAGACAAACAUUUAAUAACAUUUCUGUUAAUAUUUUACUAUUAACAAAUAAAAUUGGUCCAAAAAAUUAAUCAAUCAGUUGACCGAAUUCAAAUUCGAAUCGGAAUCCGAAGCCGAAGCCGAGCCGAGUCGAGCGAGCGAUGAUGACGACGACGCGAGCCUUGCCUUUUUCUCAACUCUUUAAGAGCUAGAAGAAGAGCAACUGCUUAUAUAUCCAUAAAAAACCUCUUACUCUUCCAAUAUGGGACAAAGUUCAUUUGCCGGAAGGGGGGGGGGGGGCUUNNNNNNNNNNNNNNNNNNNNNNNNNNNNNNNNNNNNNNNNNNNNNNNNNNNNAGGGGGGGGGGGGACUUAAAAUUUAUUUCAAAUCCAACAAUCCCCCACAUGAAUGGGAAAUGGCUAUAUCACGGAAAUAUGUACCGAAAACUGUAUGAUUUCCGAGCAAGGAUUAAUUGUAUCUGGAUAAGUAGGUUUCCAUUUAAACUUUCCGUAGUGAACUAAUGUCGGAUAUACUUGAUCAAUCGGUAGAUUGAUAUCUUUGAACCGUCGAACUUUAGUGUAUACCUAGACAAUCACAAUUCACACAACCAACCCUUAACCGUCUUUGGUUCUCAUUGUUGUGUUCGUUUCAGCCAUGAACACCGCCUGGUUUUAUAAGUGUGUAUAGAACCGGCCUUACAAAGCUCUCCGGGGCUAACACUUCACACUUACAUAGGUAGUUCCUAAAUGUGUUAUCCCGUAGAUAUACUAUUUGAUAUACCACGUACCAAAAUUAGAAAUCAUUAAAAAGUCUUAAUGUUUUAUCCUUGGUACCGAACAUUAUCUCAUCAUGAGAAUGGACCAAAAGUUUAGUUGACAAUGUUGAACCGUCAUUAAUGACUUUGUUUGAAUUUCUUGAACCUAGAUCUUGGGAUCUUCAGUCUUCUAGGUAGAGUUACCACCAUUAUGACUUGUUCUCACCCACAGUCUCAUUCCCCUUGAUGACUUCGCAACUACCUCUUUAGUUAAGCCUUUUGUAAGUGGAUCCGACACAUUAUCACUUGAGUUUACAUAGUCAAUCAUGAUUAUUCUUCUAGAGAGUAAUUGUCUAAUGGUUUAUGUCUUCGUCGUAUAUGAUGAGAUUUACCGUUAUACAUAAUACUCUCAGCCCUUCCAAUUGUUGCUUGGCUAUCACAAUGUAUGCAUAUUGGUGCCAACAGUUUGGGCAAAAAUGGAAUAUCUUUCAAGAAAUUUCAGAGCCAUUCAACUUCUUCACCGGCUUUAUCCAAGGCUAUGAACUCAGCCUCCAUUGUAGAGUGGGAAAUAUAAGUUUUUUUGGACGACUUCCAAUCAACCGUUCAUCCACCAAUAGUGAAUACCUAUCUAUUUGUGGACAUGGAAUUAGUCUAUUCGGUGAUCCAAUUUGUAUCACAGUAUCCCUCAAUGACCGCUUGAUAUUUACUGUAGUGCAAAGCAAAGUCCUAGGUAUGUACUAAAUACUCCAAAACUCGUUCCACGACCAUCCAAUGAGAUUGACCUGGAUUGCUCGUAUAUCAACUAAAUUUACUUAUAUCACAUGCUAUAUCUGGUCGUGUACAAUUCAUGAUGUAUAUUAAGUAACCCAACACACGAGCAUAAUCCAAUUGUGAUAUGCUUUGGCCUUCAUUCUUCUUUAAUACAAGAUUCAUGUCAAUUGGAGUCUUUGCAACUUUAAAGCCCAAGUGCUUGAGUUUUUAAAGUACUGUCUUAAUAUAUGAGAUAUUGACAACGCCAUACCUUGAGAAGUCUUAUGGAUCUUAAUUCCUAGAAUUAAAUCAACAGCUCCCAAGUCUUUCAUAUUAAUCUUGCUAGUUAGCAUACGAUUAGUAGCAUUUAUGUUGGUAAUGUUAUUACUCAUUGUCACACCUCCUUUUUCACUACACCUGCGAGGGCAUAAAGGAGUUUUUCCAGAUAACGGACAACCAGAACAAGAUCUAAUUAUUGAAGUUCAGAGUUGUCACUUGAGAGAUUAAUGGUGUCCCAAGUCACCCGUUGAAUCCCGAACUGAGGAAAAAUAUGGCUCUAUUAACAAUCUGCGAACUAGAAAUCCGAGUAAGGAAUUCUGUUAAUCCGGGAGAAGGUGUUAGGCAUUCCCGCGUUCCGUGGUUCUAGCACGGUAGCUUACUGUCACAUUUGAUUUUAUCUGAUUUCAAAAUAUGUUUUUAACUUAUAUGUUUUUUUAAUUUUAAACAACUUUUAUUAUUAUUCUUAUAAGAAUUUCAACGUCAUGAAAAUAUGUCGUGAACUACGUCACAUCAAUGUACCAGUGGUGGUUGACGCAUUACUUUGUUGAGAUUUGGGUUUGGAUCGCAUCAAUGCGCACCCGAGUUUAAGAAGGUAAUGUUAUUUAAAAGCAUGCCUAAAGUGACUAGCACAUUGUUAUUUUGGGGAAGGGCAUAAAAUUCUCUAAACGGCCCAUUCCGAAUCCUAAAUUUUUUUAAUUAAGCAUUGAAUGAGGGCCCUGCAUUUUGCAUUUUAUUUAGCGAGGUUCGUCUCGGUUUUAUUAAAAAUUUAUCCUAAAGCAAACUACAAUUUUUCUAUUUAAUUUGUCUCUAAUAACAAAGAAAUAAUCCUAAUUAAUUAAUACACUUGAAGAGCCUAAAUUCUCAUUAUUCGAUCGCAAAUCAAUUGAACCUCACAAAUAAAGGCGAGGCAUUUCAGGAAUUGGGCCAAAUCAGCCCAGAUUACGUUCACAAAAGGGAGGGACAUUUUGAGCAUGUGAUGAAGGGUAUUUUCAGCUAAAAGCUGAAGGCGGCUGGUGUUUGAGCCCAGUAAGACAAGUUCCAAUGUCAGCCUAUAAUUCUAAUUGGCUGAUUCCUAAGCGUUUUGAAAUUCAAAUCCAUUCAGUUAUGACAUUUCAAUUUUACAUGCAACAUGCGACCCAAAUAACCACUAAUCAUCAUUCAACAGGACAAAGCAAUUUAUUACCCAAGUUAUUUAUGUACUUUUACCUGAUUCCUAUAUCAAAGCAACAGAUGACUAUUUCUAAGAAAUGAGGCUUCAAUGCUUUUAAUGAUUAACAAAUGCAAAUUCAACUACACCACAUAGAACGGCCUAUAAUCUGAUAAUUCGAGUUCCAUGUUUAACAUGAUCACACCUGUUUUAGUGUUCAAUUAUACAGUGAAAAUCUGAAAUCAAUUUCUACACUUGUGCUGUAAUUUUACUGGUUACUAAAUACUAUUACUUUAAGCUACGUAGCAGUUCAACACAAAUGAUAAUAAAAAACAGUCCGAAUUAACCUAAAGCAGUCCUAACUAUCAGUCUGAAUUAUUACAACCCAUUUAGUACAGAAAAUAAGCAAAAAUUUGAACAGCAUCAAUGAACUUAAAGGUUCAAUACACAGAUCAACUAAAUCAAAUCUCAUGCUUCAAUUAUUGUAUAGAUUCAUCCUUCACAUUUCAACUCGCAAUUAUCAAAGUCAAGGAUGAGUACCUGGAAUUUUGAAAUUAAGAGAAGUAGAGGAGGUCAACAACAAUCACGCAACAAGCAGCAGUUGCCAUCAGCAGAAACAAAUAGAACUAAAACCCAAAUCAAGCCAAUACGAGCCAAGAAAAAAGUAACAGAGAAGUAACAAAAAUCAGGAGGCCAAAACACCCUGAUUUGAACCCAAAUUGACUCGAAACCACAAUCAAUAGAUCUCUGAAGUUCAACAAUCAGUAUACCAGUAGCAAUGAACCAACUUUUCUCUUUGAAUUAAUCUGGGAUUCGCAACAACAAUUAACAAGCCAAUGGAACAGUGUUUCCUAUUGAGUUUUGUUGCUUUUAUUUUUGGGUUUUUUUUUUCUGAAAAUCUAAGAUUUAAAAGAGCUUUUGGAUUUUGAUAUUUGAAUUUCAGAUCUAAAAAGCUUGGAGAAUAUUUUUGGGAAUUUUUUGAGGCUCCAAACUUGUGUGUUAAGGUAUUGGCAUGCCCUUUUAUAGGCAAAAAUGAGGGCAGCUCUCAGAUUUUCAGUUUUCAAUC
Molecule: long non-coding RNA, 5649 nt
Filed under: Nicotiana benthamiana
Lineage: Eukaryota; Viridiplantae; Streptophyta; Magnoliopsida; Solanales; Solanaceae
Description: long non-coding RNA (NBEN_LNC039633)
Source: RNAcentral